CUCCUGGAAACGGGUGGUAAUGCCGGAUGCUCCGACUCCUCGCAUGGGGUGUCGGGAAAGAUUUCAUCGGUAUGGGAUGGGGUCGCGUCCUAUCAGGUAGUCGGCGGGGUAACGGCCCACCGAGCCUACGACGGGUAGCCGGCCUGAGAGGGCGACCGGCCACAUUGGGACUGAGAUACGGCCCAGACUCCUACGGGAGGCAGCAGUGGGGAAUAUUGCACAAUGGGCGCAAGCCUGAUGCAGCGACGCCGCGUGCGGGAUGACGGCCUUCGGGUUGUAAACCGCUUUUGAUCGGGAGCAAGCCUUCGGGUGAGUGUACCUUUCGAAUAAGCACCGGCUAACUACGUGCCAGCGGCCGCGGUAAUACGUAGGGUGCAAGCGUUAUCCGGAAUUAUUGGGCGUAAAGGGCUCGUAGGCGGUUCGUCGCGUCCGGUGUGAAAGUCCAUCGCUUAACGGUGGAUCUGCGCCGGGUACGGGCGGGCUGGAGUGCGGUAGGGGAGACUGGAAUUCCCGGUGUAACGGUGGAAUGUGUAGAUAUCGGGAAGAACACC
This 551-nucleotide ribosomal RNA is filed under the name uncultured bacterium. RNAcentral describes it as "bacterial SSU rRNA". It matches the Rfam family "Bacterial small subunit ribosomal RNA", at positions 147 to 710 of the family's 1533-position model. The record is from RNAcentral.